AUAAUAAUAAUAAUAAUAAUAAUAAUCUACUUGGCUAGCUUUUAUAGCAAAAUAAACAGUGCUCGCUACAUAUAGCGAGUACUGUAGCACUCCUCAGUUGUUGAUGGGUUGCGGCGCGUGAGAGAAGAUUGGACAACGUUGUUCGCGGGAAAAAGAAGGCAGAGGAAGUAUUGUGGUGCUUAGUACACACCAAAUGGGGUGGAGAAGGUAAAGAGGGAGAAGAUGUCUGGGUUUUAGCUUUGAUUCCUUUCUUUGUCUCUUCAAUCUCUCAAAACAACCCUUUUUUCCUCCCUUUCUUCUCCUUUGAUUUCUGGGUUUUAACUAUAACAUCAGCACAAGAGGUAUGGCAUCUUAAAGUUUCUUGCUUUCUUUUGGUUUUUUAGAUCUUUGCUUUUUGCUCCUUUUUUUGGCAUUGUUUUGUGUUCUGCUUUCUCUCAUCAGAAUUGGACUUCGUUGAUUCCAGAGGUUUAAUGGUUUUCUAAAGUUUGAUAAUUUAAGAGGUUUAAAGAAAAAACAAUGAUGGGGUUCUCUGGAAGUCAAGUGGGUUUUAUUUUUUCUGGGUAAAGACAAUUCGAUAAAUCUUAAACUCUGUAACUCUUGUAAUAAAAAGCUUUUUGUUUAUCCCAAUGUUGAUUCCAAUUCCUUGUUCAUCAAUCGAUUGUCUUGGUUGAUGCAUUGUGCAUAUGCAAAAUGUUUGUCGUUGUUUUUGAUUGAUUUCCAUUACUUUGGGCUGAGUUUGUGCUCAUUCUGCCAAUUCCAGCACGAGCUGAUAGCUUUCAAUUUAUGUUUCAUCUGAACAUAUUUCUAAACUCAGCAGUUUUAGGCUCCUGUGUAACAUGUUCCUGACGUCUAAUCCCAUGUUCUUGGUUCAACAGAAUCUGUGAUUAACCAGGUAAUCUUCAGCAGAUCGGAUACUCGAAAGGUUCAGGUUUUAUACCAUUGAUUAUUCUUUCCUUCAGCAAGCAAUUAAAUUACCUCGUCAUCUUAACACCGGGCUGAUGUUAAUUUGAAGAUUGUGUCCUUUUCUCUCAUGCACUGACCAAUGUGAAAAUAAUAAUAAAAUAUUCAUGACUCUAUUUUAAAGAG
Molecule: long non-coding RNA, 1086 nt
Filed under: Populus tremula
Lineage: Eukaryota; Viridiplantae; Streptophyta; Magnoliopsida; Malpighiales; Salicaceae
Description: long non-coding RNA (PTRE_LNC000228)
Source: RNAcentral